UCUUCGGAUGCUGACGAGUGGCGAACGGGUGAGUAAUACAUCGGAACGUGCCCGAGAGUGGGGGAUAACGAAGCGAAAGCUUUGCUAAUACCGCAUACGAUCUCAGGAUGAAAGCAGGGGACCGCAAGGCCUUGCGCUCACGGAGCGGCCGAUGGCAGAUUAGGUAGUUGGUGGGAUAAAAGCUUACCAAGCCGACGAUCUGUAGCUGGUCUGAGAGGACGACCAGCCACACUGGGACUGAGACACGGCCCAGACUCCUACGGGAGGCAGCAGUGGGGAAUUUUGGACAAUGGGCGCAAGCCUGAUCCAGCCAUGCCGCGUGCAGGAUGAAGGCCUUCGGGUUGUAAACUGCUUUUGUACGGAACGAAAAGACUCUGGUUAAUACCUGGGGUCCAUGACGGUACCGUAAGAAUAAGCACCGGCUAACUACGUGCCAGCAGCCGCGGUAAUACGUAGGGUGCGAGCGUUAAUCGGAAUUACUGGGCGUAAAGCGUGCGCAGGCGGUUAUGUAAGACAGAUGUGAAAUCCCCGGGCUCAACCUGGGAACUGCAUUUGUGACUGCAUAGCUAGAGUACGGCAGAGGGGGAUGGAAUUCCGCGUGUAGCAGUGAAAUGCGUAGAUAUGCGGAGGAACACCAAUGGCGAAGGCAA
RNAcentral lists this ribosomal RNA (650 nucleotides) under uncultured beta proteobacterium. RNAcentral describes it as "bacterial SSU rRNA". It matches the Rfam family "Bacterial small subunit ribosomal RNA", at positions 77 to 724 of the family's 1533-position model. Lineage: Bacteria; Pseudomonadati; Pseudomonadota; Betaproteobacteria. The record is from RNAcentral.